RNAcentral lists this ribosomal RNA (1028 nucleotides) under fungal endophyte. RNAcentral's name for it is "eukaryotic LSU rRNA". The stretch from base 454 to 1028 matches the Rfam family "Eukaryotic large subunit ribosomal RNA", at positions 1 to 582 of the family's 3401-position model. Lineage: Eukaryota; Fungi. The record is from RNAcentral.
GGUCUAACCACCGGGAUGUUCAUAACCCUUUGUUGUCCGACUCUGUUGCCUCCGGGGCGACCCUGCCUUCGGGCGGGGGCUCCGGGUGGACACUUCAAACUCUUGCGUAACUUUGCAGUCUGAGUAAACUUAAUUAAUAAAUUAAAACUUUUAACAACGGAUCUCUUGGUUCUGGCAUCGAUGAAGAACGCAGCGAAAUGCGAUAAGUAAUGUGAAUUGCAGAAUUCAGUGAAUCAUCGAAUCUUUGAACGCACAUUGCGCCCCCUGGUAUUCCGGGGGGCAUGCCUGUUCGAGCGUCAUUUCACCACUCAAGCCUCGCUUGGUAUUGGGCAACGCGGUCCGCCGCGUGCCUCAAAUCGACCGGCUGGGUCUUCUGUCCCCUAAGCGUUGUGGAAACUAUUCGCUAAAGGGUGUUCGGGAGGCUACGCCGUAAAACAACCCCAUUUCUAAGGUUGACCUCGGAUCAGGUAGGGAUACCCGCUGAACUUAAGCAUAUCAAUAAGCGGAGGAAAAGAAACCAACAGGGAUUGCUCUAGUAACGGCGAGUGAAGCAGCAAUAGCUCAAAUUUGAAAUCUGGCGUCUUCGACGUCCGAGUUGUAAUUUGUAGAGGAUGCUUCUGAGUAACCACCGACCUAAGUUCCUUGGAACAGGACGUCAUAGAGGGUGAGAAUCCCGUAUGCGGUCGGAAAGGUGCUCUAUACGUAGCUCCUUCGACGAGUCGAGUUGUUUGGGAAUGCAGCUCUAAAUGGGAGGUAAAUUUCUUCUAAAGCUAAAUAUUGGCCAGAGACCGAUAGCGCACAAGUAGAGUGAUCGAAAGAUGAAAAGCACUUUGGAAAGAGAGUUAAAAAGCACGUGAAAUUGUUAAAAGGGAAGGGAUUGCAACCAGACUUGCUCGCGGUGUUCCGCCGGUCUUCUGACCGGUCUACUCGCCGCGUUGCAGGCCAGCAUCGUCUGGUGCCGCUGGAUAAGACUUGAGGAAUGUAGCUCCCUCGGGAGUGUUAUAGCCUCUUGUGAUGCAGCGAGCGCC